RNAcentral lists this ribosomal RNA (231 nucleotides) under uncultured bacterium. Its description in RNAcentral is "partial 16S ribosomal RNA". It matches the Rfam family "Bacterial small subunit ribosomal RNA", at positions 524 to 753 of the family's 1533-position model. The record is from RNAcentral.
GACAGAGGUGCCGAGCGUUAGGCGGAAUCACUGGGCUUAAAGCGUGUGUAGGCGGAGGCCUAAGUACCUUGUGAAAUCCCACGGCUCAACCGUGGAACUGCUUGGUAUACUGGGUCUCUUGAGCCACCUAGGGGCAAGUGGAACAAGCGGUGGAGCGGUGAAAUGCGUAGAUAUCGUUUGGAACGCCAAUGGUGAAAACAACUUGCUGGGGGUGUGGCUGACGCUGAGACA